UAGCCGACCUGAGAGGGUGAUCGGCCACAUUGGGACUGAGACACGGCCCAAACUCCUACGGGAGGCAGCAGUAGGGAAUCUUCGGCAAUGGACGAAAGUCUGACCGAGCAACGCCGCGUGAGUGAAGAAGGUUUUCGGAUCGUAAAACUCUGUUGUUAGAGAAGAACAAGGAUGAGAGUAACUGUUCAUCCCUUGACGGUAUCUAACCAGAAAGCCACGGCUAACUACGUGCCAGCAGCCGCGGUAAUACGUAGGUGGCAAGCGUUGUCCGGAUUUAUUGGGCGUAAAGCGAGCGCAGGCGGUUUCUUAAGUCUGAUGUGAAAGCCCCCGGCUCAACCGGGGAGGGUCAUUGGAAACUGGGAGACUUGAGUGCAGAAGAGGAGAGUGGAAUUCCAUGUGU
This 400-nucleotide ribosomal RNA is filed under the name Escherichia coli. Its description in RNAcentral is "bacterial SSU rRNA". It matches the Rfam family "Bacterial small subunit ribosomal RNA", at positions 284 to 676 of the family's 1533-position model. Lineage: Bacteria; Pseudomonadati; Pseudomonadota; Gammaproteobacteria; Enterobacterales; Enterobacteriaceae. The record is from RNAcentral.